GCCUAUUUGUGAUCUCUGUCUGUCAAAUAAAUAAAAAAAAAUCAUUAAGAAAAGACAAAAAAGAGUAAGUCCUGUUUUUCUAAUGUGUGAGCACUGCCAGGAGUCCCCAACCUGGAGUCUGCUAACACUUAAGAAACUCCAGACAUAUUCAGGAAUUCUGGGACAUCUCUUUCAGUAUUUCAAAGAGCUUAAUAGAACAGUAUAUUUACCUGCAAAAGCCCACAUGCCCUAACUAAAAUGUCAUUAUUCUUUACUUUUGGCUGGAACUCUAUGAAGUCAUUUGGCCACACUGGUGAUCUCACACUGCUGAGUGGUUCUGAUACACUGUGGAAGACACAGUGAUUUCUGGGAUGUGACUAGAGAAGCGGGCACCAUUAUAAAGCCAUGGAUCGAUCCCAGAAUACCCAGUUAGAAGUGUCACUUAACAGAAUCCAGGGAAAACUAAGGUUGAAUGCUUCAUAUUCUAAGAGAGGUGGGAUAUGUAGUCAAGCAAUUCAAUGAAUAGGAAAGAAUAUGCAUGGAUAAACAGAUUUUAUAUCAAGUCUGCAGUGCCUUAGAAUGGGAAGCAGAAGGCAAAGCUGAAGGGAUAAAGAAAUCAGGGGAAACUGGAGGAGUGGAGUUAGGAGCACACUGAAAGGGAAAGAAGGGAGUUGUAACUGACAAACCAUACAGAAGCCAGAAGACAGUGGAAGAGAAAAUGGGUAAGAUGGGAUUUGAUCUUUGACUCUAAAAAACUUUUUUUUGAUGGGAUUUUUAAAAGUCCAGACUGUGAGGGUUAGAAUUAGCUCAGCUUGAAAACUUUAGAAAUGUUAAAAUGAAUGUACUUACAGCCUCCAAAAAUUAUUCUGCCAUCGUGAGCGAUAAGUACAGUGCUAUA
Long non-coding RNA from Lutra lutra (Eurasian river otter), 877 nucleotides. RefSeq lists it as uncharacterized. The transcript has 5 exons. Lineage: Eukaryota; Metazoa; Chordata; Mammalia; Carnivora; Mustelidae. The record is from RefSeq and is a predicted model, not a curated record.